GCACACACCUCUUAAAGACACCGGUAGUUCCGCUUCCGGCAGCACCAGAUAAGUCGCGAGAGGAAGCUUAAAUCCUGUCGUUUGCUUUUAGGACCACUUUCGGUUCAUGAUGGUCCGUAGUGGAAAAAAUGGUGACCUUCAUCUUAAGCAGAUUGCAUAUUAUAAACGAACUGGUGAAUAUCAUCCAACUACGCUACCAAGUGAGAGGAGUGGCAUAAGAAGAGCAGCAAAAAAAUUUAUCUUCAGAGAAAAAAAGCUGUUUUAUGUUGGAAAAGACAGAAAACAAAAUCGUUUGGUGAUUGUUUCAGAAGAAGAAAAAAAGAAAGUCCUAAGAGAAUGCCAUGAAAAUGACACUGGAGCUCAUCAUGGCAUAUCCAGGACCCUUACUCUAGUGGAAUCCAGUUAUUAUUGGACUUCUGUGACCAAUGAUGUCAAACAGUGGGUAUAUGCUUGUCAGCAUUGCCAAGUGGCAAAAAAUACAGUUAUUCUAGCUCCUAAACAGCACUUUCUCAAGGUGGAGAAUCCAUGGAGUAUAGUUACUGUUGAUCUGAUGGGCCCAUUUCAUACAAGCAUCAGAAGUCACGUGUAUGCUAUAAUCAUGACAGAUUUGUUCACAAAAUGGGUUGUGAUUUUGCCUCUCUGUGAUGUUUCACCAUCAGAAGUUUCUAAAGCUAUUAUCAAUAUAUUUUUCUUAUAUGGACCACCACAGAAAAUAAUAAUGGACCAAAGAGAGGAGUUCAUUCAUGAGAUCAAUGUUGAACUAUGUGGAUUGUUUGGCACAAAGCAAAUUGUAAUUUCUCACGCCUCCCAAGCUGUUUAUCGAACUGAAAGUACAUCUAGCACAAUCAAAGCAUUUCUUUGUAAACACUGUGCUGACCACCCAAACAACUGGGAUGAUCACCUAUCAGCCAUUUCAUUUGCCUUCAAUGUAACUCACUUGGAACCUACUAAAAAUACACCAUAUUUUCAAAUGUUUACUCGAAAUCCUUAUAUGCCUGAGACUUCAGAUAUUCUUCAUGAAGUGGAUGGUGAUGAUACAAGUAUGUUUGCCAAAAUUCUAGGUGCAGUUAAAGAAGCUGAUAAAUUAUCAAAAAUGGAGAAUAAGACAGCAUCAGGACGACAGGUGGAGAACAACAAUUUUGAGGAACUGAAUAAAAGCAAAGUCAUUGUUAAAAAGAAACCAAAGCAGUUAAAUCCAUUUCAUCUAAAAGUAGGUCAUGAAGUUUUACGACAAAGGAAGAAUUGGUGGAAGGAUGGUCGUUUCCAGUCUGAAUGGGUUGGUCCUUGUGUCAUAGACUAUAUUACCGAAAGUGGAUGUGCUGUUCUGAGAGACAACACUGGGACUAGACUUAAAAGACCUAUCAAAAUGUCCCACCUUAAGCCCUAUGUAAGAGAGUCCAGUGAACAAGACAGUCUUUAUCUCUUGCAAGGUUCGGUAGUGGCAGAUCAUGACUACAUCGGAUUGCCUGAAAUUCCAGUUGGAGCAUACCAAGCAAAUAUUCUGGUAGAAGAUGCAACUAUUGGCGUAGUCGAUAAUGAAUUACUGACAUCAAGCAAAGAUGGUGAACUAUUAGAAUAUAGAAGUGCCAAAAUCUCUCCAUUGCUGGAAGAUCAUAGUACUCUUGAAAAGCAGACUUUCAGUCUGUUGGACUCUUCAAACCAAGUCCUUGAGUACUUAAAGACAAGCUGGUGUAGCCUCACCUGUGGAAUACCGCCACCACGGCAAGGGGAGAACAUACCCAGCACCAUGAAGAGCCUUGCUGUCACGUCAUGCACAACCUUCCAUCUCCAAUUACGGUGGUCAAACCUAGUCAUACACUGCUAACAGGUUCCCAGAAUUCUCGGACUCCUCGAGCCCGGCACUGAUGAGCAGCAAAGCAGGGCGAGCUGGACUCAGCUCUCUUUGUCCCAACGCCGUCCUGUCCCAAGGACAACCCACCCCCAGCUCCUGCAGGUGUGCUGCUUCAGCGGUCCAGACAUUUGGAAUGUGCUUCCCAGCUUCAUCCACUGUCCUGGGAUGGACCAGGAAGGCCUUGGAAGAGGUUCUCCAGGUCCUUGUGAGGAGCACACAGAAGGAAUUCCUUAGUCUGCUGAGUAGCUGGAGGAGACCAGAAAGCCAAUGACAACUUCAUUCCUCUCCCCUACCUCGCAAUGAAACCUCUGUUAGUUCUGAAAGUUCUCAAGAAUUGAAGUGGAGAAUGGAGGAGAAACUAAAGGAAAGGUAUAUACCCAAAGUAUUUGAAAGCUGGGACUGGAAGAGAUACUUCUACACCAGUGUUUAUUGCAGUAUUAUUCACAAUAGCCAAAAGGCAGAAACAACCCAAGUGUCCAUCAACAGAUGAAUGGAUAAACAAAAUGUGAUAAUUACUCUGGAAGCUGGAUUAAGAAUGGACAGAGAAAGGGCAAUGGAAGACUGGUUAUGAGGCUGUUACAAUAAUUGAGGUGAGAGAUGAUGAUGGCACUGGUAGUAAUGGAGGUGGUGAGAAAUGGCUAAUAUCUGUUGUAUUUUGAAGGUAAACAGGAUUUGCUGACACUGGAGGUGGAUGUUUAGAAGAAGAGAGAAAUCUAUGAUGACUCUAAACUUUUUAGGCUUGCAUAACUGGAAAGAUGGAGUUGCCACUAAGAUGAGGAAGACUAGGAGGAAGAGACUUGGGAAAGAAAAGAGAAGUUCAGUUUCAACGUGUUGAGUUUGAGAUGCUUAUUAUACAUUGACGUAGAACUGUUGGGUAGAUAUUUGGGUAAGAGUCUGGAAUCCAGGGGAUAAAAAUUCAGCAUUCAUUUAUGCACAGUUCAGAACUCUCCAGAAUAAAACUUCAAUUAAUAUGUUUCCCUUUGGAGAGGCCAAGACAUUCUCUUUGCUGCACUUAUAGUUGACGUGCCACAUUUCUUGUUAAUCACUGCUGAGGCAGCGAUCCAAAGCAUCUGGUGACUGAUUGUACAUACUCUAUGGCAUUAUUUAUAUUACCUGGCAGAUCAAACAGAUGCUCAAGCAAGUUUUCUAGCUUUAUGAAUGAUGGCAGCAGAGCAUUUGGCCCCCUUCCUCCUUUUGAUGGAUACAGCUGAUGAUAACACCACAUUUAAGGGACUGCAAAUAAAGCUUGCAAGUUCUCAAAAAUCUCAUCCUCAUCUUUCAGUACAUACUGAAUGAGACAGAGCGUUGGUCUCAGCAAUAACAUAUUACUUUGCAAUCACAUAGUACUUUGUCUUUGCUGAGGAAUUUACAAUCCAGUGUAAUUUAUACAGAAUAUCACUUUUCCUAUUUUUACCUCAAUUUUCAGUUGGAAAACUGGAGAGAGAACUUUUUUUUUUCCAGAAAAAGAAUCAGAAAUUCUUAGGAAUAUCUCCUAUCCUACCUCACAAACUUGAGUUAUUAGCCUUUAAUUCUAAAUCUUCCUUUGAAUUCUUGUCAUAACCUAAAAGUCUUAGCAUAGUGUAUAAUUUUACUAAGAUACCUAGAUUGCCAAGGUCAUUGGGAUACAGGGCUUUACUGAAGCAAUAUGACAUUUCAGUUAACUUGGAGGAGAAAGCUGUGUUUGGCUCCAUUGGUAAAGAGUUUUAUUCCAACUGUGAUGAAGGACUGGUCAUAUGUGAGUAGGGAAGAUGGAAUGGGCAGUGAAGGUAGUGAAGGAGCAGAAAGCUGAAUGCUUUCUGUUCUCCUCCCACACAUACGCAGCUCUUUCCAUAGCUAGCUUCACAUCUCUCCCUACUGAAAGGCCCUCUGUCUUUUAGGUUUUGAAUCUCAUGGACAGAGGCUCCCUGAGUUGAGAAAUCUAAAGUAGGCAAUAGAUCUACCUGAUGGUGGGAUGGUGACAUACAGCAAGAGGACAACACCAGGCAGAGAAAUUCUGCUGUGGGACACAGACUUCCACAUGCAACAGAAACAUUCCGGUAUCUGUGGGUCUCUCCCUAAGCAAGGAAGGCCGUGUUGCAGGAAUGUCCUUGGAGAAGUGUAUAGCACUGGCCUAAGCAGGACAUCUAUAGGGUAUUUUCACAAGUGUAAAGCUAGGGAAUUACUUAGUGAGGCGCUUGGCAGGGGUAGGAAUGAUUCAGUAUUUGAAGGAGCUAUGACUCAAUUUUGGAAGACAUGGAGGCAUUUCUCCAUGGCCCACCUGUGAUCAGGAGUUUUCAGGCUUUGAGGAUGGAUGUGGUUUACUGGGUUUGAAUAUGAUUGCGUGUGUGUGUGUGUGUGUGUGUCUGUGUGUGUGUAAAAUUAACAUACCAUAAAAUUCACUCAUUUAAAGUGAAAAUUCAAUCGUUUUUAGUAUUCAUAGAGUUAUGAUUUUACUCAUUUAAUGCAGAAACUUUAAUUGUAAACAACUUGAAACCAGCCAUUCUGAGGGGUAGCAGGAGAAAGCCACCUGAGAGAAAUACCUGCCAGUUGCACUCUAGUAUCUUCCCCCUUUUUGGCCUGUUCCUCCACAGAAUCCAUGCCCACCUCUUCUUCAUCUUUCUCCAGAGCUGCCAGGUUCUUCAGGGCCUCAGAGAACUCCCCUUCAUAGAUGCCUUCUCCCAUAUUCACUUUGCUUACAUGAGAUCAUACUUUUGGUUCAGGGAGGCCCAGACCUCAGCCAUGGCAGUGGUGUUGCACAGUAUGCACAUAGUCUGCUGCACUUUGACCAGGUCUCCCCUGGGGAUGACAAUUGGGGGGCUGGCAGUUGACCCCACUUUAAAUCUAGUUGGGCAACAUCCAAGCUGGAUGGUGCACUUCAUCCUGAUGCUGGUAAUGGCUGUGUUGACAUCUUUGGGACCAUGUCCCAGUUACAUGCUACAGACGACGUAUUGCUUCAGCAAGGGUCAUACUUGGCAAUCUGAUUGGCUGGCUUGCAGGCAUUGGUGAUGUUGGCCACAAGCAGCUACUCAUCAUAGGCCUUCUUAGCUGAGAUGCCUGGGGAUUGGUAGCCAGUGGAAAGUGGAUAUGGGACCAGGUUGUUUGGGAAUUCUGUCAAAUUCACAUUCAGGGUAGUGUCAAGUUGCUGAGAGGUAGUGAUGGUGGACACAAUCUGCCCAAUCACAUGAAUGAGAUUGGUAUAUAUGGGCUGUUUAGUAUCUAGGUUGUGUCGACAUAUGUCAUAGAUGGCUUCCUCACUGACCGUGAAGGCACAGUGAGAAUGAUCCAGGGUCGGGUGGGUGAUCAGGAAGGAAUUGUGGUGCUCCACUGUGACUGUGGAAACCUGGGGGAUUGGCAACUUUGAGUUUGGACUUCCUGCCAUAGACUACCAAGAGCUGUUCCAUAAGCAGAGGCACAAACCUAGAGCUGGUGCUGCCCCUGAAGCUGUGGAAGAUAUGCAAGUCCCAUAGCCCUGUACACAGAUCCACCAAUUUUCAGAUCAAGUCUAGGUCAGUAAUCUCCUUGCCAAUGAUGUCAUGGCCUUUGGCAUAAUUACUGGCUGCAUCUUCUUUCCCAGGGAUCAAUAUUAAGCCCCCAACUUUUUUACUUUUAUGGACCAAAUUUUUAUUUUCUCUUAUUUCUUAAAAGUAAGAAAAUGAUUUUGAAAGACAUUAUAUAUGUUUAUUUUUGCCUCAAGUGCUCACAUUAAAAAAAAAAAAAAAUAGCCAAACAAUUUCAUGAUUUUCUGUUCUCUGGUGACUGCAUUGGCAAAGAGGACAUGGGUACUGUCAGUAUCUAUGUGACACCUGAUGUUCCAGAUCUUUUCGAAUACCUGGAUGUAUGGCAUGAUGUAAACAUAAAAACUGGAUGACUAGUACCAUUUUAAGUUGUUCUUGAAGACACAGGCAUCAUUCACUGAAUAGCCCCUUUUAUGAGUGCACAAAUCCAUGCAAAUUUUUUGUUUUACCACCAGAUGUCAGCCAUUCACUGCACUGGUAAUAACUAUCCUGAAGAACUCUUGAUGAGAAAUCUAUGUAUGUGGAUGUCACCUUCAUCUCUCCCUCUGUCCUUCUUUUCCUCCUUCCCGCUAUGACUGUCAGUCAAUAAUCAAUUGACUUAUUAUAUUUUAAUUAGAAUGCACAUUUCUCUUCUAAUCUAUCUAAAUAAUGAAAGGGAGGGGCGCCCGGGUGGCUCAGUCGGUUAAGCAUCCGACUUCGGCUCAGGUCAUGAUCUCACAGUCCUUGAGUUCGAGCCCUGCGUUGGGCUCUGUGCUGACAGCUCGGAGCCUGGAGCCCGCUUCGGAUUCUGUGUCUCCCUUUCUCUCUGCCCCUCCCCUGCUCAUGCUCUGUCUCUCUCUGUCUCAAAAAUAAAUAAAAACAUUAAAAAAAAUUUAAAAAACAAAAAAUAAUAAAAAUAAAUAAUGAAAGGGAUAUAUUAGAUAUUUUAAGAAAACUAACAUGAUUUAGAGUUUAAAUAUUAUCAUAAACAAAUGUGAAAAUGACACUAAAAUGUUUUUUAAACUUUGAUCUGGAAUUCAGGCUCUUUUCAGUCCAGGAACUUUGGGACCAAUGCAAUAUUUUGCAGCCUUUGUUUCAGAACAUACUUUCAACUGUCACCCAGAACUUUUGCUUUUUUGGAAUUUUUAUUAGAUACUUGUUGGUAUUCUGAAAUUAUAUUCUUAUUGGAAGAGUAUCAACUACAUAUCGAACAAACUAUGCAAUAUUUGAUUUUUAGAGAAGCCCUAAGGUGAUUAAAAAGCUAAUUAAUUAUUGAAGAACUAUGUAGAAUUUUUGCCCACCAACAACUUCCAUUUAAUUUUUUUUCUAUUAAAUGCCUUCUUGAGUAUUAACAUAUAACUUCUAUGAUCCCUGACUACAAACUUUGUCAGGUGUGUUGCUCUACUUCAAUCACUGAGUUUAAUCCAAUGAUUUUAUGCUUUUUGCCCUUCAACAUUGUGAGCUUUUUGAGGUUUGGGGAGUUUGGCAGGUAUCUAUUGAUAAAUGAAUUUUAUUCUCUAAACUUAGAGUACAGCUAGCCUGUAGUGGACUGUUGGUUGCCUCCUUAACAACCAUUUUCUUCUACCUCUCUUUCCUGUCUGAAUUUUGUUUCGGUGUCUAGCACUUCUCUUUUGGAGCCAUGAGACUUAGGGAAAUUUCAUCCCAUCAAGCUUCAUGCAUGGGCCUGAGUGGUAUAAAAAUGAUCCCAUUCCCUUUGCUAAGGAUUAGCUCAGAAAUGACCAUGGCCAUAGAAGGUCCAAGGAAAACUUUUCCUCACUUUCCUCACUCCUAAAAGAGUGAACUAUAAGGGCUGAUGGAUAUAUCUUUGUGAAUCUAUUGUCAUUCCUGAAGAAGAAAAUACUAGUGUUACUGUGUUUCUGAAUCCUUUUGGCGGAGUGAUAUAGAUAUGGGGAAUGUAGGGGAGGCUCUCUCAAAUUUUCAGACAUCUACCAGAGAUAUCUUUCAUAUCACAUAGAAAGAAAAUUCUAGAGUAUGAAACCAACACAGAGGAAAACAGCUGCAGGGGAGAGAGAGUGUGUUAAGAGAGAGAGAAUGAGAGAAUGAGGGAGAGACAGAGAGAGACAGAUCUGAUGAUAGUUUUUGUGUCCCUAGAUCCUCUGUUAUGAAAUAAUGAGCCAAAAAAUUUUGUUCUUAUUUAAUUAUAACCCAGUGAGGUAAGAGUUUGAUAGGGGAAGUCUAUUUAGGCAUCUGGAAAAAUGUCUAGAAGCUGGAAGGACAGUAAGGGCAUGACCAUUUGAGAGAGAAGUCAAAUGUGGCUUCUCCUUGGAGUGAGGAUGAUAAGGAGAGUUGGCUUCUGGGCCUUUUGCUCUAUAGAGACCACAUAUUUGAGCAAACGGCUUUGUGUGCCUAAUAAUUUGUUUUAAGUCUUAGCUAAUCCUUGUAGGACCGUAUUUCCUAUAGAUGGUCCAUGAAACACCUGGAUCCAAAUCACCAGGGGUACUUCUUAAAGAUGCAUAGAUCUGGGGCUCCUGGGUGGCUCAGUUAAGCUUUGAUUUUGGCUCAGAUCAUGAUCUCAUGGUUCAUGAGAUCAAGCCCCGCUUCCUGGUCCGUGCUAAUAGAGUGUACCCUGCUUGGGAUUCUCUUUCUCCUCUCUCUCUUUCUGCCUCUCCCCCACUCACAUGCACUUUCUCUCUCAAAAUAAAUAAACUUUUUUUAAAAAUGCAGAGAUCUAGGCCCCGCUCAAUGUAGUGAAUCAGAAACUCUGGGAAUGGGACCAAGAGUUAGUCCUUAUAAGUAGCCCCAGUUGAUACUUAAAGUUGCUGAAGUCUGAGAAGUAUUGCUAUAGGCUACGUUAACUUUGACAUCGACUUUGGGCUACUAAGUAGGUGACAGUCUGGGGAAUAAGCCCUAAAACCAAGUCUGUGGCUUCCCUUAUCAUUCAGCUACUUAAAUACUCAAUUUAUAUAACAUUUGAAUGAGAGUUUAAAGAUAUAUGGGAAUUUUGAAAAAUAAUAUGCUGAUUUAAUAAACUAAGAAGAUGGGGUACCUUUGUGACUCGGUUAAGCGUCCAGCUCUUGGUUUCAGUCCAGGUCAUGAUCUCACGGUUCAUAAGUUUGAGCCCCUUGUAGGAUUCCAUGCUGACAGUGCAGAGCCUGCUUGGGAUUCUCUCUCCUACUCUGUGCUUCUCCCUUGCUCGUACAUGCUCUCUCAAAAUAAAUAAAACUUAAAAAAAUUAAUGUAUUAAAAAUUAUAAUAAACUAAGAAGAAAGCUUAGAACAAAAGAUUUUAUGCAUAUGAUAAUUCAGAGCCAAAUCAGUGAAUGAGUGUUCUUUUACGUCCCCCAAACAAUAGUAUCUGGAUAAUUUAAUGUAAAAAAAAAAAUCAAAGCCCAGCUGUUUCUCUUCGCCUUUUUAAGAAGUCAAUUAUACCUAUUUUAAUUAUCUAAUUUAAAACAAUGAACAAUUGAGGUAUUCCGAUCAUGGUACUAAUGGUUAAAACAAAAUACCUCAGACCCUGUCUCCUCUGUCCAAACAUCUGUAAAUUAUAAUUUAUGUGCAAAUAUAGCUAUCUACUUGUAGUAACUGGCAAAGUUGAAUAGCCAAUUCUCAAAAACAAUGGUUUUCAACUCUAGAUGCACAUUAGAAUUACCUAGAGAAAUUAAAAAACGUGACUUAUACCAAUGUCCUACUGUAAGUCAACUAAAUCAGGCUCUCUGGAAGGAGUGUUUUGUUUGUUUGUUUGUUUGUUUUUUUUUUUUUUUUUUUUUUUUUCCUUAAAUUCCCCAGGGGAUUCUACUGUGAAGCCAGGGAUGGGAUCCACUUCUUGAGACGCUUCCCAGGCAGUGCAUUCUCUGAGUGGCUCAGUGAAUGAAAUUCAGCUAAGAACAAUAAUCAAUGGAGAGAUUGCUUGAAGGCAAUGCAGUUCAUUCAUUUCUAGUCUACCAUCUUUAAGCCAGGUUAGUAGAAUAAGGGUAGUGUACUAGGACAGGUUUAUAAUGCCCCAGAUUUUCUUUUUCUGUAUCUUCUUUUUUAUAAUGCCAUUUGCUUAUAUGAGAUAUAAGAUGUCACAUGCUAUAUUGAGGGAUAUAUGUAAGAACAGACUUGCAAAAUGUAUUUGUCUACUCUGGAUAUUGUUGAAGACUUGACUCACACAUCUUGCUGCUGUCUUUCAGAAGAUAUUUGGGAACAAGUUUUUCUGUCCUUAUAAUUAGGAAUUCUAAAUGUUUAAUGGAUUUAUGAAUUAUAUAACUAAUCAAGUUUUAUUUAAUGAGCUGCUAGAAAUCUUAGAGCCAACGUCUUGGCCUGAGCAGGUGUAAUAGGAACUACUCUCGUAUUAAUUUUUCUUUUUAUCUUUGUUCUCCAUUUAUCUUUUUCACCUCCUUAUCAUUUAUCAUUUUUAUUUAUUUUUUGCAUCCAUUGAGUCAUUGUAAACUGUUUAGGAAUAAGAUUUGAUGUAGGUAACAUUUAAAAAAGCAGCUAAUAGAGCUGAUGAUCAAAUAUUGCACCACAAAAUAUGACCUUAGUGCAAGUCAACUAAUUUCCUCAAUGUAAGCAAACUUGAACAGCAUCAAAGUCAACCUAUAAAACAUGUGUCUUGGUGGGGGCGGGGGGGGGCGUACUGGACUAAUUCUGAUGUUGAAAUAAAAAUAUCUUACAUACUGUGAACAGGCACAUAUACCUCAGAAUAGUGUUAUCAUUCUACAUUUACAUGUUUACCAGUAUGCACUGAAAGGGGCAUAAAGGAGUGGGCAAAGGGAGGUAAAUAUAUCCUUAUUUGAGAAGGAAGAUAAGAAUAAAAAAAAAAAGGUGAAGCUUCUAUUUGGGUAGGAUGCCCAAAUUAAGCUAUACCAGGAAGGUGAAUAUAUGGGAAGUAAUAAAUCUUUCAAUCAGAUCUUCUUUGGUGUGUGAGAAGAAAAAAAUCUAGGUUAUGUUAGAUUUUUAAAAACAACAUAGCUGGAAGACAUUCUAAUUAAUAUACUUUUUUUGCAAAGCACUCUAUUGUUUUCACGAUGAGUCAAUUAAAUCUCUAAUGUGCCACUAGUAAGAUGCCUGGAUUGCAAAUACAGGCAUUUUGAAGAAAGGGUUCUAGAGUCUGAUUAUUACACAAAGAAAAGUGAUCAUGUUCUUACUAAACUGCAUUGAUGAAUUAUGAAAAAGAUGUUAUAAAAGUAAUUCAUAGUUCCUGUAAGAGAUGAAUAUUCCCAUGAAUACAUGGAAUUGGAGUGAAAUUAUUCUUUAAAAAGAAAACUAGUAGUAACCUAUAUUGAUGGGUCUAUUUGCAUAUGUAACUUGAGACACAGGUUUCCUCUUAGCUAGAUCACCUUUUAUUAAAUUAUUUACCUCCUGAUUGAUACACAGGCAAAACCCCUCUUUAAAUUUAAAAGAGAGCCUGGAUUUACACAUGUAUGUAAACUCUGAUGCUGGUUUUUAAUUUAUAUCAGCUACAUAACAAAAUAUCAUCUUCAUUUUAAUACAAUACAACACAUUUCUUUCUGCUGAAGACAUUGGGUAGUUUUCACUAUAUCCGUGGUUUGUGUAAUUAUUACAAAAGUUGUAUACAAAACCCUGCAAGUAUGCAAAAAUUGCAAAAUACACUCUGACAGCUAAUGCUCUGAAAACACUUUAUUACACAAAUUACAUUCAGAUUCUGAAAAUAGUGUUCUAACAGUGUAACCAUCUAAAAAUAAGACAUCCCAAAAACACACCAACUGAAGAAAAUUAAAAAACGAAUUUAAAUAGAGACUUUUUUUUCUUUCCCUCAUUGCAAUAUAAUGUUAGUGAUUUUAAAAAAAUAGGAGAUUUAGCAGCUUUGUCCUCAUGUAGCACAAAGUUUCUCUUUACUGCCACAGGCUGAGAAUGCUGAACAGGAAAGGCACCAAAGACAGACAUAGGCAAUGGAAGUGCUAUUGGGAAAAUACUGUGUUCAAGCAGAGAAUGGGG
This is an RNA transcript of Panthera uncia (snow leopard), 11225 nucleotides long. It is a transcript of the gene named gypsy retrotransposon integrase 1, with no coding region annotated. The transcript is spliced from 13 exons. The record is from RefSeq and is a predicted model, not a curated record. Lineage: Eukaryota; Metazoa; Chordata; Mammalia; Carnivora; Felidae.